Molecule: ribosomal RNA, 271 nt
Filed under: uncultured bacterium
Lineage: Bacteria
Description: partial 16S ribosomal RNA
Rfam family: Bacterial small subunit ribosomal RNA
Source: RNAcentral
UACGGAGGGUGCGAGCGUUAAUCGGAAUUACUGGGCGUAAAGGGCGCGUAGGUGGUUGGGUAAGUCGGGUGUGAAAGCCCGGGGCUCAGCUUCGGAAGUGCACCGGAAACUGGCCGGCUGGAGCGCGGUAGAGGAGGGUGGAAUUCCUGGUGUAGCGGUGAAAUGCGUAGAUAUCAGGAGGAACACCGGUGGCGAAGGCGGCCCUCUGGACCGUUGCUGACGCUGAGACGCGAAAGCGUGGGGAGCAAACAGGAUUAGAUACCCGGGUAGU